GACGAACGCUGGCGGCGUGCUUAACACAUGCAAGUCGAACGGAAAGGCCCUGCUUUUGUGGGGUGCUCGAGUGGCGAACGGGUGAGUAACACGUGAGUAACCUGCCCUUGACUUUGGGAUAACUUCAGGAAACUGGGGCUAAUACCGGAUAGGAGCUCCUGCUGCAUGGUGGGGGUUGGAAAGUUUCGGCGGUUGGGGAUGGACUCGCGGCUUAUCAGCUUGUUGGUGGGGUAGUGGCUUACCAAGGCUUUGACGGGUAGCCGGCCUGAGAGGGUGACCGGCCACAUUGGGACUGAGAGACGGCCCAGACUCCUACGGGAGGCAGCAGUGGGGAAUAUUGCACAGUGGGCGGAAGCCUGAUGCAGCGACGCCGCGUGCGGGAUGACGGCCUUCGGGUGGUAAACCGCUUUCGCCUGUGACGAAGCGUGAGUGACGGUAAUGGGUAAAGAAGCACCGGCUAACUACGUG
This 468-nucleotide ribosomal RNA is filed under the name uncultured bacterium. RNAcentral describes it as "partial 16S ribosomal RNA". It matches the Rfam family "Bacterial small subunit ribosomal RNA", at positions 28 to 507 of the family's 1533-position model. The record is from RNAcentral.